AGUACCCGAAAACAAUCGAAACCGCAUGGUUUCGUUUUGAAAGGCGCUUUACGGUGCCGCUGAUGGAUGGACCCGCGGUGCAUUAGCUAGUUGGUGAGGUAACGGCUCACCAAGGCCACGAUGCAUAGCCGACCUGAGAGGGUGAUCGGCCACAUUGGGACUGAGACACGGCCCAAACUCCUACGGGAGGCAGCAGUAGGGAAUCUUCGGCAAUGGACGAAAGUCUGACCGAGCAACGCCGCGUGAGUGAAGAAGGUUUUCGGAUCGUAAAACUCUGUUGUUAGAGAAGAACAAGGGUGAGAGUAACUGUUCACCCCUUGACGGUAUCUAACCAGAAAGCCACGGCUAACUACGUGCCAGCAGCCGCGGUAAUACGUAGGUGGCAAGCGUUGUCCGGAUUUAUUGGGCGUAAAGCGAGCGCAGGCGGUUUCUUAAGUCUGAUGUGAAAGCCCCCGGCUCAACCGGGGAGGGUCAUUGGAAACUGGGAGACUUGAGUGCAGAAGAGGAGAGUGGAAUUCCAUGUGUAGCGGUGAAAUGCGUAGAUAUAUGGAGGAACACCAGUGGCGAAGGCGGCUCUCUGGUCUGUAACUGACGCUGAGGCUCGAAAGCGUGGGGAGCAAACAGGAUUAGAUACCCUGGUAGUCCACGCCGUAAACGAUGAGUGCUAAGUGGUUGGAAGGGUUUCCGCCCCUUCAGUGCUGCAGCUAACGCAUUAAGCACUCCGCCUGGGGAGUACGACCGCAAGGUUGAAACUCAAAGGAAUUGACGGGGGCCCGCACAAGCGGUGGAGCAUGUGGUUUAAUUCGAAGCAACGCGAAGAACCUUACCAGGUCUUGACAUCCUUUGACCACUCUAGAGAUAGAGCUUCCCCUUCGGGGGCAAAGUGACAGGUGGUGCAUGGUUGUCGUCAGCUCGUGUCGUGAGAUGUUGGGUUAAGUCCCGCAACGAGCGCAACCCUUAUUGUUAGUUGCCAUCAUUUAGUUGGGCACUCUAGCAAGACUGCCGGUGACAAACCGGAGGAAGGUGGGGAUGACGUCAAAUCAUCAUGCCCCUUAUGACCUGGGCUACACACGUGCUACAAUGGGAAGUACAACGAGUCGCGAAGUCGCGAGGCUAAGCUAAUCUCUUAAAGCUUCUCUCAGUUCGGAUUGUAGGCUGCAACUCGCCUACAUG
RNAcentral lists this ribosomal RNA (1173 nucleotides) under Enterococcus mundtii. RNAcentral's name for it is "bacterial SSU rRNA". It matches the Rfam family "Bacterial small subunit ribosomal RNA", at positions 165 to 1322 of the family's 1533-position model. Lineage: Bacteria; Bacillati; Bacillota; Bacilli; Lactobacillales; Enterococcaceae. The record is from RNAcentral.